CCUACGGGUGGCAGCAGUGGGGGAUAUUGGACAAUGGGGGGAACCCUGAUCCAGCGACGCCGCGUGAGUGAAGAAGUAUCUCGGUAUGUAAAGCUCUAUCAGCAGGGAAGAAGAAAUGACGGUACCUGAGUAAGCAGCCCCGGCUAACUACGUGCCAGCAGCCGCGGUAAUACGUAGGGGGCAAGCGUUAUCCGGAUGUACUGGGGGGAAAGGGAGCGUAGACGGAAGAACAAGUCUGGAGUUAAAUCCCGGGGCUUAACCCCGGAACUGCUUUGGAAACUGUGCGGCUGGAGUGCAGGAGGGGUAAGCGGAAUUCCUAGUGUAGCGGUGAAAUGCGUAGAUAUUAGGAGGAACACCGGUGGCGAAGGCGGCUUACUGGACUGUAACUGACGUUGAGGCUCGAAAGCGUGGGGAGCAAACAGGAUUAGAUACCCUUGUAGUC
Molecule: ribosomal RNA, 442 nt
Filed under: uncultured bacterium
Lineage: Bacteria
Description: partial 16S ribosomal RNA
Rfam family: Bacterial small subunit ribosomal RNA
Source: RNAcentral